UACGNAGGUCCCAAGCGUUAUUCGGAAUCACUGGGCGUAAAGGGAGCGUAGGCGGCGUGGNAAGUCAGAUGUGAAAUCUCANGGCUCAACCUUGAAACUGCAUCNGAUACUCCCAUGCUAGAGGGCUGGAGAGGUGUUUNGAAUUUUCGGUGUAGCAGUGAAAUGCGUAGAUAUCNAAAGGAAGACCAAUGGCGAAGGCAAAACACUGGACAGNAACUGACGCUGAGGCNCGAAGGCUAGGGGANCGAAAAGG
Molecule: ribosomal RNA, 253 nt
Filed under: uncultured bacterium
Lineage: Bacteria
Description: partial 16S ribosomal RNA
Rfam family: Bacterial small subunit ribosomal RNA
Source: RNAcentral